RNAcentral lists this long non-coding RNA (1321 nucleotides) under Homo sapiens (human). RNAcentral's name for it is "novel transcript". Lineage: Eukaryota; Metazoa; Chordata; Mammalia; Primates; Hominidae. The record is from RNAcentral.
GCAGCAACUCUGCAGGGAAGAAUAUAGGGAAAUAAACGCCUUCAUCUCUCUCUUGUCCCACCCGCAGAGCUCCUUCUGGGAUUCUCUAUUGGCUGAACUCAGCCAGAAGCUGCCAAGGGAGACCCCCACAACUGGAUGCAGCCCACUGAAGUCAGCUUCCUGGGGUGCGUAGCUGAAGGUAGCAGGGAGCAAAAAGAAUCUGAAGGGGAAGUGAACAAUGUAGAGCGUAUCUGUGCUGAAGACGUAAGGAGAGAGUGGAGGUCAGAAGCUGGCAUGGUCCCUGGUGCAUGUAUCAGCCGCUAAAGAAGUGGAGAGUAUGAACAUAAGCAAGAGGAAGUGAUGAGUAUCCCUUCCAGGAGAACUCUAAGAGGCAGUGAGUGAUUUGCUGGGCUCCCAAGCCCUCUGCUCUGAUGACAGCAAAGCCCCAAAUCAUGGUGCCUCCAUCAGUCGGGACCCCUCAGCAGAGCCAGCUUCACAGCUGGAGUGGAUGAAUCAGAACUUUCCCCAUGGGAGCAUUUAUAAAAAGGGGACACCCAGCGCAGAAGAUGUUUUCCAGGGAGAUCUCGGGGAGCCCAACAAGCCAAGAAGAGCAGAGCAAAGCAUUCCAAGGAAGGACUCUAAGUCUGCAACCGAGCACACACGAGGGUAGCCUACGCAUGUACGUCUUGCAGUGAUGGCAAGGAGCAGGAGAAAGAAAGCCCAUCCAAACAAGCAUAUUGGAAGCCUAUGUAUCCCAUAAGCUGACAUCUUGUUGCCCAAAGCAUGUCAUGUGCGUGGUCCAGAGUCAGUGUUGAAGGGCUCUGCAAAAUCACAUGGUAAAGACUGUGGUUUCAGGGAGGAGUGAAGAUUUGUGCGCAUUGCUCCAAUUGACAACCAUGGCACUAGGCUCAGGCCACACUUCUUCCUAACAAGAGAGCAAGUCAAAGCGUGGUUAGUUAAAGUCCAUACAAAAACUCACUUUAACAGGCCUCCUCUGGAUUGAACAGCUGAUAUUAAGUCAUAAGGUACCACAUCAGAAAGAUACUGGGUAUCUUUGGUUCAGCAAUUCCAUCACCAGGGACUUUUUCAUCCUAAGGAAAUCACUGCACGGUGGACAAAGAUAUAUGCAUAAGGAUGCUCCUUCUGGCCAAAGACCAAAAACAUAACUGGCCAUCAGUAAAAGCCAACACAAGGAAAGACCAUGUGAAUACACAGCAAGAACGUGGUGCUCUGCAAGUCAGAAACAGACCCGUCAUCAGACACCAAAUCAGCCAGCACCUUGAUCUAGGAUUUCUGGCCUCCAAAACAGUGAGAAAAUAAAAUUCUGUUGUUUAAGCCAUGC